GAUUUUUUUUAAUGAAAAAAUCAUUCUUUCUACAAAAUAAAACGAAACCAGCUGUUCUUCGAACAAUGAGGUUUCAUUCUAAAUCUUUUUUCCUGCUAUGUCAUCAUUAUUAGCAUUAAAAUUGAUAAAUAUCUAUUUAUUUGACACAUUUCACUUUUAAACCAUUCUUCAAUCUUCUGCAUAAAAAUAAAAAGUUCUUUUUCUUUACAUAAUUUUUAUCUAUAUAUAACGUGUUUGAUAUUUUGGAAGUUUAUAAUUUAGUCACAUUUGAAGGAAAUAAUAAGAAACAAAAAUGAAGCUUCUUCUAUUCGUUGCGUUUGCUUACGUUUUAGCUGUUGUGAAUGCCGAAAGUUGUAGUGAACACCGUGCAGAAGCAGAGAAACAAAUUGAAAAGGGUCUUCAAGACGUUCCUGUUCCUUCGUGUAACGAAGAUGGCACGUACGCUCCUCAGCAAUAUGGAAGCUUUGGAGAAUGCUAUUGUGUAGAUCCCAAUGGAAAUAGAGUGGGCAAAGAGUGCCCUUGCAGUUAAAUUAUUUGAUUGAUGUAUAAUGUACUGUGAUAUUUUAUAACCAGACAAAAAAUAAAUAUUGAAAUUCCAUUCUGAAUAUGCUUUGUUUCUGUUGGAUAGACACGUACAUUUUGUUUUGUGUCAACAUUUUAUCUUAGCCCUAAUGUAUUUUUGAAUAUUUACAAACAGAAAUUUUCUCUACGUAAUAAACAAAAAUUCUAUUAAA
Molecule: unclassified non-coding RNA, 734 nt
Organism: Parasteatoda tepidariorum (common house spider)
Lineage: Eukaryota; Metazoa; Arthropoda; Arachnida; Araneae; Theridiidae
Source: RefSeq, a predicted model, not a curated record